Long non-coding RNA from Corapipo altera (White-ruffed manakin), 1147 nucleotides. RefSeq lists it as uncharacterized. NCBI's taxonomy places the organism in Eukaryota, Metazoa, Chordata, Aves, Passeriformes, Pipridae. The transcript has 4 exons. The record is from RefSeq and is a predicted model, not a curated record.
CAGAUGCACCUACAGGGAUGGGAUGAGCAGGAAAGUGGUGACAGGGAAGAAACCAGGACCAAAAGAAAGCCUAAAUAUGAGUUUCCAAUGUUUUCCUGGCUUCAGGUGUGAUUCUCCACUUCAAUGAACCCUCUGGGUUGGGUUAUGGAGGGAGAAGGACUGACCACAUUCACCUGUGGUUUCCAGAAGAAGAGAAGGGAGCAGCCAGUUCUCCUCUCCAAAAACAGGCCCUGGGAGCUCAAUAGAUUGGAAAUAACUUAAUGAAAACCUACAGUUUGUCCAACAGAAUCAGCAGAAAACCCACCGUUCCUGGCAGGAGUUUCCAAUGGGAAAACAUUGAGGACCUGGAGGAUCUCACCUAAAUCACUGCUGGGCCCAGGUAAUUACCCCUAGGAAGGAGCUGUGAUGGUUUGAAAACAUCUGUUUCUUUUUGGAAUCUGUGUACAUCUGCCCUUAAACAAGGUGAAAACUUGGUGUGAUAACUCUGAGGACUGAAUUUCUGCACUGCUAUGUUCUCUGCAAUUAGAUAACAGCUUAAAAUGUGAUUAGUGCGUUAUUUUUACCUCUCAGAACACACAGACACAACAAAACUCUCCGUUGAGAGCUGAUUUGAUGCCAGCUAAAUAUCCAGGUGGUACUCAGAAGGCACUGGUAAUCAAAUUCCUGAAACAUCUUGUGCAGAGUGAGAAUUUCCAUGUUUCUGAACUAUAUUUCCCUCCCAUUCCCAGUGGGGCUCUUCACUGUUGCUUUAUCUGAAGUCCUUUAAGCUGUUACUCAGUUCAGUGUUUCCCUGGGAGGUUCUCUCAGGUAGAGGAAUCCCCUCAAUGUGCUGGUUAUGCUGGGAAAGAGAAAAUUCUACUCUGUGAGUCACUUUGUACAUGAGAGAGGUUAUCUGACAGAGCUUUCCACACAGCUGGCAGCAGGAUCCCUUCUCUCCUUCCAGCAGAGACAAAACUGGCAGCUGGAUGGAUUUUAAACGUGGGGCAGUUGGGGAAUCUGCAAGGUGUAACGACCCUUGUGAAAGGACUUGGCUGUUCCAAGGGGAUGUAGGCUCUGGGAAAUGCCUCCAGAACGGGACUGGGAUGGUCAGUGAUCUGCUUGGCUGAAAUGUGGGACAUCAAGGCCAGGUUGGACGGGGCCUGGAGCA